This 320-nucleotide unclassified non-coding RNA is filed under the name Hevea brasiliensis (rubber tree). Lineage: Eukaryota; Viridiplantae; Streptophyta; Magnoliopsida; Malpighiales; Euphorbiaceae. The record is from RNAcentral.
AUUGUUCAAGAUAUUCCUUAUUUUCUGCAAUUACAAAAAAAAAUAGCAUAAAGAUAAAAUAAUUAACAUAGUAGUUCUUGAUAUAGUGUUUAAGCUUGUCUUCGCCGUGUCUAAGCUUACCAAUAGAGACUGCAUUGGAAACUACUUACCAAAAGACAUUCAACAGCUUUACAAAUUACAUCUUACGUCAAACUAAUUUAUAUAACAAACAAAUUAUAGCUUACCAGUAGCACUUUACCUGAUUUUUCACAAAAGAGUGCAUUAAGAGAACUAGUACUUAGUUACACAGGAUUCACCUUAAGGAACAAGCAACAUGCAGG